UUUCCUUUUCUUUUACCAUUUCGUGGCUGAACACCCGUACUGCAAAUUGUGGUAGAGGUGCCUAGAGGUUAUCAGUUCUCUUUUUUAAUUCAGUGCGGGUCACUUGAUUCUCCUACUAUAGUCCACAAAUGGAAAGGUUAACAUUGUCUCACAGUAGAUUAUUAUUUUUUUUUUUUUUGCUAGUUACGCUAUUUGUCCAAGAUCCUGAAAUUUGAUAUGGGUUACAGGAAUUUGCAACCACAAACAAAUCACUAUUCCAAAAUUGAAAGCCUACCUACCGAUUUGAAGCCCCAAACAAAUCACUAAAGAAGAAACUGAUGUAUCGACUCACCAAUCGAAAGUUUCCCUAUGCAGAGAUAGACAUGCUUUAGGAAGUAACAUGAAGAAAAUGUAGAAUCAGUAUGUAUAGGGAGUAACAUGAAGAAAAUAUAGAAACAGGUCCCCUGGAAAUGCGUAUGUUGAAGGCGAUGCAUCAAGUGCGAGUUAUUUCCUAGCAGGCGCAGCAGUCACCGGUGGCACUGUUACGGUUGAAGGUUGCAGCACAAGCAGUUUACAGCAUCAAACUGGCUGCAGUUGCUUCUCAUAAGGAACACAUAAAUCUGGAGCAAUGGCUGAACGAAAAUUUGAGCACAUACAAGGAUAUUUUUUUGAGGAUUGCCUCAAGUUCUUAAAAGAAAUACCUUCUGUAGCAACAAAUGAUGCAUCUGCCAAUCCUUUCCAACAUUCCAGCUCUGUCAUGAAUCUUUAUCUAGAGACAAGUUCUACUCUUUUGAAGCUCCUUCAAGCCCAUUUUGGCCAGCUCAUCUCCCACCAAUUUUCUAAGGAAUUGAGAAGGUUGCAGGCAUUAUCUGUGCAUGCUAAUCCAAGACUGCAAAAUGGUGGAGCUACAGAUUCAUCAAGACAUGAUGCAUCAUAUCUGAUUAUUCACUGGCCUCUUCAGAUCAAUAGAAAAUAAUCUUUUUUAGCAUCUCUAUCCAAACACAGUUCAAAAUCACAUUGCAAACCUUGCUGGGAACAAAACUCUAGUUCUGCCUGUGCCUGCAUUUAACGUCAUCAAUGGAGGAUCACAUGGUUUCACUAUCAACCUGAAUUUUACGAACUUUGCUAGGAACAGAACUCGAUGGGGUGUUAAGAAGCCUUAAAUCAUGAAAAAUUUUGUCACGAUCUUGUCGAAUGCAGGUCUUGGGAUGGCCAUGUUUAGUCUCGAUAAGAUCAUUGAUAUACUCAUCAUGUUCAGUCUCGGUAAGAUCAUUGAUAUGCUCAUUCGACGCGAGGGGUGUCAUCAAGAAAUAUGACAAUCCCGAACAAAGUAAGUUUGCUUAUUCUAUGUACUUGCUAUGAAUUUCUUAAAUCUAUAUAUGCUUUCUCAUCACCGUGCCUUCUUUUCUUGCAAUUCUUGAAGAAUUCUUUUAUUUAAGACUUGAGUUCUAUGUAAAGAGAAAGGUGAGCUUUGAUCUAGGCCCCCCAUUUUUUCUUUUUGGUAAUUGAGAAGAUGGUAGUAUUGACUUGCUA
Long non-coding RNA from Magnolia sinica, 1512 nucleotides. RefSeq lists it as uncharacterized. Lineage: Eukaryota; Viridiplantae; Streptophyta; Magnoliopsida; Magnoliales; Magnoliaceae. The record is from RefSeq and is a predicted model, not a curated record. The transcript has 7 exons.